CGUAGGAUGCAAGCGUUGUCCGGAUUUACUGGGCGUAAAGCGCGCGCAGGCGGCACACCAAGUACCCUAUGAAAUCUCCUUGCUCAACGGGGAGGGUGUUGGGUAGACUGGUGAGCUAGAGGACGGUAGAGGGGGGUAGAAUUGCUGGUGUAGCGGUGAAAUGCGUAGAGAUCAGCAGGAAUACCCGUGGCGAAGGCGGCCCCCUGGGCCGUACCUGACGCUGAGGCGCGAAGGCUAGGGGAGCGAACGGGAUUAGAUACCCCGGUAGUCCUAGCAGUAAACGAUGGCCACUAGGUGUGGGGGGUGUUGACCCCUCCUGUGCCGAAGCUAACGCAUUAAGUGGCCCGCCUGGGGAGUACGGUCGCAAGACUA
RNAcentral lists this ribosomal RNA (372 nucleotides) under uncultured organism. RNAcentral describes it as "bacterial SSU rRNA". It matches the Rfam family "Bacterial small subunit ribosomal RNA", at positions 526 to 896 of the family's 1533-position model. The record is from RNAcentral.